RNAcentral lists this long non-coding RNA (571 nucleotides) under Rattus norvegicus (Norway rat). RNAcentral's name for it is "long non-coding RNA NONRATT020743". The record is from RNAcentral. Lineage: Eukaryota; Metazoa; Chordata; Mammalia; Rodentia; Muridae.
AUAACUUGUGUUUUCUUUCUCCUUGCACACAGGCGCUCUGGUCGUGGCGGCGGGGCCGUGUGGUGGAGUCUUGGCAGUCAGCUGUCUGUGGGGCUUUUGCAGGUGGCUUUGCAGCUGCAGUCACUACACCUCUGGAUGUGGCUAAGACAAGGAUCAUGCUGGCAAAGGCUAUUUGCAGGUGUCUUCCCGAGAAUGGCAGCAAUCAGCAUGGGAGGCUUUAUCUUUCUGGGUGCCUAUGACCAGACCCGAAGCUUGCUGCUAGAGGUGGGCAGGAAGAGCCCAUGAAGAAGACACUUCAUGUCCUUGGGCUGCUGUGCAGUCCCCUCUCCUCGUCCUGGAGCUACAGUGCAGCUGCGAAGAUGGCUCAGAGAACAGCUUAAUGAAGGUGGCACAGACUGCCCCAGGAAACUGUCCUUGGUGAAACUCUGACCCAGCACCUCAGUCCUCUCAAUAAAUACUCUUGGUAAGGCAAGGCCUUUGAUCUGCAUCCUGCACUUCCUGCUAUCUGUUGGAGUCACCAGAAAAGCAAGCUGGCUACAAUUGGAAGUGAAUGACCAGACUGGGAAAAGGA